CAGAAGGAUUCUGUCACAAACAUCCAAAUGAUUAUGAAUUCAUCAGAAAGAUGCUCUCACACACACCAAAGGACAGACCACAGGCCAAAGAAAUAAAGGAAAUUCUUGACAGAUUUUUCUGUAGUGAUCAGAAUGUGUUAAGCCAGAAAACUAUUUAAGAUAAACAGCGGUCUGGUUAAAUAAUCUUCUUAACAUCAAAAUAAUGUCUGUAGUAUUUCUGUCCAAGUCAUAAAUAUAUACUAUUUAUACUAUCAUCAACAUAUCAAUGGUUAAUAUGCUGUGGAGUGGUUUUAUAAACAACAGUAAUAACUAAGAGAGAAAGAGACACUCAUUGUUUUGAUUUUCUUAAAAAAUACUGUACAUUAUAAUAAUGAUUUGAGGCUACUUUAAGAAGACUGUAUUUUCAUAACAUUUUACACAAUGUUUGCUUAUAAGAAAGAACUUUUAACUUUGCAUCUAAAAUAAAACAUUUCUACGAGUCAAA
Molecule: non-coding RNA, 484 nt
Organism: Misgurnus anguillicaudatus (oriental weatherfish)
Lineage: Eukaryota; Metazoa; Chordata; Actinopteri; Cypriniformes; Cobitidae
Source: RefSeq, a predicted model, not a curated record